Long non-coding RNA from Prunus mume (Japanese apricot), 2078 nucleotides. RefSeq lists it as uncharacterized. Lineage: Eukaryota; Viridiplantae; Streptophyta; Magnoliopsida; Rosales; Rosaceae. The record is from RefSeq and is a predicted model, not a curated record.
ACCCCCCAAUUUCUAUUAUUCUCUCCUCAAACCCUAACCCCAAAUUCCCUAGCCGAUAAUCACAUCCCAAAACCCCCCCAAUUUACGUUAAUGGAUCAAAAGGUUCGGAGCCUCAUUUAUAUGGAUUGUGGGCUGGAUGUACUUUCCCAGGAGGUGGAGAUUUGUGAUUGUAGCUGGUGUCGCCGCCGCCUAUUGGUGUGAAAAAGCUCAUAAUAUUCAAGAAAAUUCCUGUAUCCGUCUCGAAUCUGAAAGCUUUAAUGGAGAAGACUGAGUUCGAAAUUGUGGAAAACAUAGCCGAGGAAACGUGCCGUCCCGGAGUGCUCGUUGGGAAGAUCAAGGACCGAUUCGGUCAUAUUUGGGAAUUCAGCAGCUCGGCUGCCGGAGACACAUGGCGGUACAUCCUUCUUCAUUCUUGCAGUGAUAAUCCAUACAAAAACGAAUUCAUAACUAAUUUAAAGAAUCGAAUAGAAAUUAUUACAAGAAAUGAACAGAGAAAUUACUCACUGAUAGUUCUUGUUUGUGAUGAUGAAUUUGUCUGAUCCAACCUCCACUUCAGCGCACACAAAUGUUGUGGCUCGAAUUUGUUGUACCGAAUCAACCUAGCACCAAAAAGAUCUUCAUAGAAUUGAACCACUCACAUACCACUAGUUGGGGCCAUCACCCGUUGUGGGGUCAGGUCUGUGAUGGUUACUGAAGCUUCAUGUUCGACCUCAAUAUUCUUGCGGCUUUUCGUAAUCUCCUUUUUCUUCUCCUCCUCCUUGUGUUUCUGUUCCUCUUUGUUAUCCUUCUUCUUCAAUGUAUGAAGUAAAAUAUCUCUCACAUUGUAAUAAUUUAGUGGCUUAAUAAUGUACAGGAUAUUACCUUCUACGGCUCCCCCAAAAUCUAAAAUCACAUAUGGUGAAGUAUGCCAGCUAACGAGCCUCACUAUUGUGCCUCGGAAGUUAUGGAAAUAGCGGACUUCCCUGGCUGUAUUCAACGUUCCUUCAUAUCGUAGGAGAUAUUCUUGCAACACUACGAUAUGAAGGAAUGUUGAAUAUAGUCAGGGAAGUCCGUUAUUCUCAUAACUUCCGAGGCACAAUAGUGGGCCUCGUUAGCUGGUAUACUUCACUGGAGGCGAUGUUAGAUUUUGGGGGAGCCGCUGGAGGUAAUAUCCUGUACAUUAUUAAGCCACUAGAUUAUUACAAUGUGAGGGAUAUUUUACUUCAUACAUUGAAGAAGAAGGAUAACAAAGAGGAACAGAAACACCAGGAAGGAAAAGAAAAAGGCGAGUACGAAAAGCCGCAAGAGUGUUGAGGUCGAGCAUGAGGCUUCAAUAACCAUCACAAACCUGACCCCACGACUGGUGGUGGCCCCAACCAGUGGUAUGUGGGUGGUUCAAUUCUAUGAAGAUCUUUUUGGUGCUAGGUGGAUUCGGUACAACGAAUUCGAGCCACAACAUUUGUGUGUGCUGAAGUGGAGGUUGAAUCAAACAGUUUCGUCAUCACAAAUAAGGACUAUGAGUGACUAAUUUCUCUGUUCGUUUCUUACAAUAAUUUCUAUUUGGUUCUUUAAAUUAAUUAUGAAUUUGUUUUUGUACGGAUGAUCGCUGCUGCGUUUGUCUCCGGUAGGCCCAGAAUAUGGAAUGCCAUGAAAAACUGGCGUGCUCGUUGCUUGAGGACAUAUUUGGGAACUCGCAGCUCGGUUGUAUGAAUAUGUUGUUGAUUGCGGAGCCGAAGCAUAAACAUCGGUGGAACUCUGGCUACCACUUUGAGAGUUUUCCUGGAACGCCAAGGGGGGUGGCUUCAUUGAAAACUAAGCUAACGGCUGAAGAUGGUUUUAAUCACAUUCACCAGUCUACAAAUCGACAUUCUCACUUUAACCCUUUUGUGCUUGGUCUGGAAGAUACGAUAUUGGAAUUGGGUUUUAAUUCCAAUACCUUUUGAUUGUAAAUACGUUUAAUCAACAGUUUGAUUGCAUUGAAUUGGAGAUAUGCCCAAACCACAUGAAUGAUAAUAUUGUGUUUAAAAUUUGAAGUAGAAGAACAUCACACACAUCAGAUACCCAUGAAUACAGAAAGAACAACAGAAUUUUCAUUUGCC